UAAACAGCAAGUUUGCAUUUUUUGUCACUUCAACUACCCAAUAAUUUUUUUAUAAAGGGUGAUCAAAAAGUCGCACACACUUAAGAUUGGUAUCACUGAAAAGAACAGAUCGUCCCGCAAAAAAGGAGUCCUCACACAGCCCAGUACACAUAAAUACCAAAAAAGUUAUAGAGGUCAGAAAAUGGUGAUAAUUAUUAUUUUUUCCCUCAAAGGUUUAAAAAAAAAUUCAGUAUUAAAUGCAAGAAAAAUUAUACAACUGUG
This is a long non-coding RNA of Bufo bufo (common toad), 261 nucleotides long. RefSeq lists it as uncharacterized. The transcript has 3 exons. The record is from RefSeq and is a predicted model, not a curated record. NCBI's taxonomy places the organism in Eukaryota, Metazoa, Chordata, Amphibia, Anura, Bufonidae.